RNAcentral lists this ribosomal RNA (265 nucleotides) under uncultured bacterium. RNAcentral's name for it is "partial 16S ribosomal RNA". The record is from RNAcentral.
CUGCUGCCUUCCGUAGGAGUUUGGACCGUGUCUCAGUUCCAAUGUGGCCGUCCACCCUCUCAGGCCGGCUACUGAUCGUCGCCUUGGUGGGCCGUUACCCCGCCAACAAGCUAAUCAGACGCGGGUCCAUCUUACACCACCGGAGUUUUUCACACAAAUCCAUGCGGCUUCGUGCGCUUAUGCGGUAUUAGCACCUAUUUCUAAGUGUUAUCCCCCAGUGUAAGGCAGGUUACCCACGCGUUACUCACCCGUCCGCCACUAAGUA